Non-coding RNA from Tilletiopsis washingtonensis, 93 nucleotides. The record is from the annotation of a RefSeq genome assembly. NCBI's taxonomy places the organism in Eukaryota, Fungi, Basidiomycota, Exobasidiomycetes, Entylomatales.
GGCGCUUUGUCCGAGUGGUCUAAGGAGGUCGACUAGAAUCUGUAUCUACAUCGUUUAGCAUUUGCUGCGCAGGUUCGAAUCCUGCAGGCGUCG